UAAGAAUUUGGUGGAUUAGGUUUCUGGU
RNAcentral lists this non-coding RNA (28 nucleotides) under Rattus norvegicus (Norway rat). The record is from RNAcentral. Lineage: Eukaryota; Metazoa; Chordata; Mammalia; Rodentia; Muridae.